UACGAAGGGGGCUAGCGUUGCUCGGAAUGACUGGGCGUAAAGGGCGCGUAGGCGGUUAUUACAGUCAGAUGUGAAAUUCCUGGGCUCAACCUGGGGACUGCAUUUGAGACGUAGUGACUUGAGUGGAGAAGAGGGUCGUGGAAUUUCCAGUGUAGAGGUGAAAUUCGUAGAUAUUGGAAAGAACACCGGUGGCGAAGGCGGCGACCUGGUCUUUAACUGACGCUGAGGCGCGAAAGCGUGGGGAGCAAACAGG
This 253-nucleotide ribosomal RNA is filed under the name uncultured bacterium. Its description in RNAcentral is "partial 16S ribosomal RNA". It matches the Rfam family "Bacterial small subunit ribosomal RNA", at positions 524 to 776 of the family's 1533-position model. The record is from RNAcentral.